AUAUCGGGAUUGGCAGAUACUCAAACUAAAAUGAUGGGGAUCGGAUCGGCAGCAAAAAAACAUGAUCGGAACAACCCUAAUAAAAGUCGUGGUAAAGAUAUCCAGAGUCGACUUACUCUUUUUACAGCUUUUUUAAAUGCUCUUAACAGGGAUGAAAGUGGGCUGGAACGGUCUGGAACGCUGUUCCGGUAAGAGAUUCGGCGCCGGGACAGGGCAGACCGGUGCUUUGAUCCCAAAAAUAUGACAGCAACCGGCAAGAUCCCAUGCGAAAAACAUCCUGCCUUGCUGCCACACAGACAUAUUCAAGAGCAAAACUACGGGAGUUGGCAACCCUAUGUGCCACCCACUUGGAGGGGGGAGAAAGAGGAGAGGAAGGCGGACGUUGGAGAACGCCAAGAGGACGAAAUAGGAUGGAGCAACACCUCUGGGAGUAUUUUUUUUAUUUUUUAUUUUUUUGUCUCUUGUGACCUCACAUAGCUGAACUCUUUGGCUGCCCUUGACAGCAAUACACAUCAAUAGCUGUUUUAAGUAUCAAUUUCCCUUGUUUACUAACUACCACAACACAUACUCUGUGACCUGAACUGGAAUUAUCCCUCAAAAAAUGACUCCAGUAGGUUGUAAAGUUUUCUAAAAGACAAUGUGCAUCUACAGCAAGAGCACAUCAUGUUUCCAAGGUGAGCAUGAUUAAAUCAUGCUGUCCAUACAUAAACGUGAACAAUGAAUGAGUAGCUAGAUUAGAUCAUGUUGAUGCAACAUAAUGUUAACGUGCCUUUCCAACCAAUUGCAAUAGUCUCGUCAUUUCUCGUCAUUUAAAAGGAGGGUUGCCAACUCCCUGAAAAAAUAAGUGACACCUCAUUGGUAGAGCCGGCCGGCCCAAUAACCGUCACCAUUUAAUUAUUAUUUUGUUUGUGAAAAGUGUUUUUUUUAAUUAGAUGGGGCUUUGCAAGGCACAGGCCUAGCUAGUAAAAUUCCUCAACUUUAUUUUUAUUUCUUUCAUUCUUAAUCUUAUUAUCCACGUUUUUUCGGCGAACUGGAGACUCCAAACCGUUUGACCGACCGGCACCGUUUCAAUAUCAAAAUGACCGGAAUUCCAUUCAUUUUUAAUGGCAAGCAUUUUCCCUUCAUUUUCAGUGACAGGAAAACAUUGGUGGUUGUGAUUUUUGACCACUUACCAUUACAGCCCAUUGGCAUUGAACUGGCACCUAAGUGACCGGUCCAGUGAAUGGACGUGUCACAAAUGAUUGACCUGAGGAGCGUUGGCCAACUAAGCCAGGAAGAACUAUGUCAUUCGUUAACGAGUCAGCGGAAGCACUAAUGACAUGCGAGUAAGAGCGCAUGUGCGCAUUUGCUCCCACGAAGAAGUCGCGCAGACGAGUGAGAGAGAGACCUGCGCGCACAUUUGUUGCUUGUGAAGCAUCCACAGAGGGAACACCUGUAUAUAACAGCUUUUGUACUGUUUAUUGUGCGUUUUCUAUUGUGGUCAAAUACUUGGGGUGCAUUUAUUUGAUUGUUUUUGAUGAUGUGCGGACACUAACUGGUACAUGCUAAUUGUUUUUGUGGAUUGUUACUGCUGUAUCAGCAGCUAGUAAUAAACGCACAUUUGAACUGCUGUUAUUGAAGAUGAAACUGAUUUAAUUUCAUAUUUAUUUUAGUUUACUUCUGCAAGUGUUGAUGUUAUAAGCACCUGAAUAAAAUCAACACA
This is a long non-coding RNA of Corythoichthys intestinalis (scribbled pipefish), 1702 nucleotides long. RefSeq lists it as uncharacterized. NCBI's taxonomy places the organism in Eukaryota, Metazoa, Chordata, Actinopteri, Syngnathiformes, Syngnathidae. The record is from RefSeq and is a predicted model, not a curated record. The transcript is spliced from 4 exons.